Molecule: ribosomal RNA, 387 nt
Filed under: uncultured bacterium
Lineage: Bacteria
Description: bacterial SSU rRNA
Rfam family: Bacterial small subunit ribosomal RNA
Source: RNAcentral
AUUGAACGCUGGCGGCAUGCCUUACACAUGCAAGUCGAACGGCAGCGGACCUUCGGGUGCCGGCGAGUGGCGAACGGGUGAGUAAUAUAUCGGAACGUACCUUUCAGUGGGGGAUAACGUAGCGAAAGUUACGCUAAUACCGCAUAUUCUGUGAGCAGGAAAGCAGGGGAUCGCAAGACCUUGCGCUGAUUGAGCGGCCGAUAUCAGAUUAGCUAGUUGGUGAGGUAAAGGCUCACCAAGGCGACGAUCUGUAGCGGGUCUGAGAGGAUGAUCCGCCACACUGGAACUGAGACACGGUCCAGACUCCUACGGGAGGCAGCAGUGGGGAAUUUUGGACAAUGGGCGCAAGCCUGAUCCAGCCAUGCCGCGUGAGUGAAGAAGGCCUUC